AGAUUUGUGCCGCACUAAAGUGAUGUUGUGAAAAUUUGGAUAUUUUGUGUCAAUACUAUUUGUUUGUAUUGUGCAUUCACAAGCAGAACUGAAAAACAGAACAGAUGUAUGUGAGAAUGAAGUUAUGGUAAUUUAAUCCAAUUCAUAAAGCUCUUUAUUAUAUGUUGAGAAUUUUGUUUUUACCGAUUUUUUUCUACAUUUUAAAACCUGGUCAGUGUCUUAGUUUUUACUCCCUUAAAAUUUUUCGUCUAACCAGUUUUUUUCCUUUUUCUCACUUUCCAAAGCUAAAAAUCAUUUUCUCAUUUCUCAUGUGUUCUUUCACAUCAGCAUUAAUGUUAUUUAAGAUUUUAUUCUUUAAUUAGUCUCAACUAAUUUCUUUCCAUGUUACUACUUCUAAUUUCUUUCCAUGUUAUUAUUGAGUAUUUCUUUUCAUGGCCAAGACUACUUUGAUGCAGAAAUUGCAGAUAACUGUUACAGUCUUACAGACUCCUUGAGAUUUCAUCAUUUCAAAGAUGGAAUUUAUUCAUACGAGGAUGACAUAAUGCACAUUUCUUGUCUUUUUUUCUUUUGAUAAAUGGUAUAUCCCUUUUUUGCCUCAAUACAUCGUCAUCGUCAUCAUAAGGUUAAUUCUCAAUAGAGUUUAUUUUUGUAGGUGUAUUUCUUAUUGUUCAGACGAUGGAUUGUGUGGAGUAUCUCCAUAACUCCAUUUAUUUCUUUUUUUAAGAGAAUGAAUGGGGAAGUGUAAAAUUUUCUUUAGUUUUGUCUAAAGUUAAGGAAUUUUUAUUAAUGUGUGAAUAACAUUAAGCUCUAUUAGUCAAACCAACUUUUAAUUAGUCAGAAAUAUUCCAUUUUCUGUAACGAACUCCAUGAUCUUAAUCAGGCUUGCUAUAUAUUGGGUAGAACAUCCAUAAUACAAAUCAUGGUUUCAUACCAACUCUCUUUCAUUCACUCUAGAUCUCCACUAUGAUGUGUUCUGAGAACUGAGAAGUCGAUCACAAUUCACAAUUGUGGAUGCAUCCAUGUUUGAUUCGGAUAACUCAAGGUUCCUAGGCGAUGGAUGUGACCACUGGAACCACCAAAUUGGUAACGAUGAAAUGAAACACCUGAAGACUUUUUUACUCGACAAGAGUAAGUAUCAGACAUGGAAGGCACAAUUUGGUGCCAUAAUGCACGGAUGCAUGACCCAGGGAACCACUUUGACUAUUUUUGUGAUAAAGAAGAGAUCUCUCAAUGGUCACCAAUGCGGUAGCAUGGUGAGCAUAUAUAAAUGGGAAAUUGAAUACUAGGAGCAUCGGAUUGGAUAAAAAACAGGUACAUCAGAAAAGAUAAAUUGCUGACAUCCUCUCUAACCAAGCUAAUGAUGGUUCAUCUAUGUCGAAAGAGCUUCUGUUCACCAAGAAAAAUAUUUAAGUUUGUCUGAAUUGUGGAGGGUGACUACAUAUUAAUAUGAAGGGAGAAGAGGAGGUAAUGGCCCAACAAUUGGCAUCAUCAUUGAAAAUUUGAAAGAAUCAGAACAAGAGGGUACAAAGAUGAUCUAGCAGAAAUAAUUUGGUCUCACAUGUUUACUAAAUUCUCCACCAUCUUUUUAUGUGGAAUAUAUUAAUGAUAAUAAAUAAAUCAUUAAUAUAAUUUCCUACUUAUAUAAAAUAUGGGCUAAUUCACGUUAUUAGACCCACAGUAAAAAAUCUAUUGGAUAGAUAUGGUUAUCUAUUUUACAGAACUUAUCUCAAUUGUAAUAGAUAUAUAAGGAACAUACAUCAAUGAGAAUGAGUACUCUGUUUUCAUAUAAUUCUCAGGAAUUGAUAUGGUAUCAGAGUUGAGAAAUCAGAAAUCGUUCAUACGAUAUUCUGAUCUGAGCAUCCUCUGUUUCUACUUCUUAUUUCUCUUUAAUUCCUCUUUAAUGAAAUUUAAUUACUUUAAAAAAAAAAAAAGUGUUGAAUUCGUUUUUUUGAUAAUUUUGACGUAAUAUUCUAAAAAAAUAAUUGAUUUUGACUAUCAAGUUUCACCAAGGCUGUUAGGGUGAAAUUCUGGACUCUUCACUGAUACUUAUAGUUCCAUCUCAGAUUUUUAGAACCUCAAUUUCUAAUGCUCAAGGUGACAAAGGUGCAUUUCCCUCCUCAUUGCUAUGGCAGUUUCAAUUGAUUCAUUUUUUAACGUAAUUGUGUUUGAAUAGAUAAUGUAUGGUUUUUAUCUUUUACUUAAGGUCAUCUUCUCCAACUCUGUUGAUUUCAUAAAUCAUUUUUCAUUGAUUAACUAUUUUGUAACACAGAAGCAAAUAAAAAAAUCACCUCUAUGACAAUCGUAUGUUGGUUCUUCCCUUGUGCAGAUGAGAUGUGCUUCUUUUCAAACAUCUUUCCCCUUGUGCUACCACUUUGUAACGUUUUGCCAACGUUGGAGGCGUAGGAAGAGAAGAAAUCUCCCGUAGGAGCUGGAGUCGGAGGUUGGAGCCGUAGGCGUUGACAGAUACCAUGUUACUUUCUGGAGGAGGUGCAGUCCUGGAGGCGCCGUCGGAGCUUCUGGAGCCUUCUAGCGACGAUCGCCGGAGAAUUCGCGACUAGGUUUUUCCGCCCACGAGAAAGGGGGAAAAACGGAUAAAACUGUCGCUGGAGAGAGAAGAAAGGGGAAGAAUGAUUUUGGGGGGAAAUAUGAAAAAUGUUAAUCUUUU
RNAcentral lists this long non-coding RNA (2665 nucleotides) under Zostera marina. RNAcentral describes it as "long non-coding RNA (ZMAR_LNC000207)". Lineage: Eukaryota; Viridiplantae; Streptophyta; Magnoliopsida; Alismatales; Zosteraceae. The record is from RNAcentral.